This 253-nucleotide ribosomal RNA is filed under the name uncultured bacterium. RNAcentral describes it as "partial 16S ribosomal RNA". It matches the Rfam family "Bacterial small subunit ribosomal RNA", at positions 524 to 776 of the family's 1533-position model. The record is from RNAcentral.
UACGUAGGGUGCAAGCGUUAAUCGGAAUUACUGGGCGUAAAGCGUGCGCAGGCGGUUAUGUAAGACAGAUGUGAAAUGCCCGGGCUUAACCUGGGAACUGCAUUUGUGACUGCAUGGCUAGAAUCUGGCAGAGGGGGGUAGAAUUCCACGUGUAGCAGUGAAAUGCGUAGAUAUCAGGAGGAAUACCGAUGGCGAAGGCAGGUCUCUGGGCUGACACUGACGCUCAUGCACGAAAGCGUGGGGAGCAAACAGG